Molecule: ribosomal RNA, 459 nt
Filed under: uncultured bacterium
Lineage: Bacteria
Description: partial 16S ribosomal RNA
Rfam family: Bacterial small subunit ribosomal RNA
Source: RNAcentral
CCUACGGGUGGCAGCAUUGAGGAAUAUUGGUCAAUGGCCGUAAGGCUGAACCAGCCAAGUCGCGUGAGGGAUGACUGCCCUAUGGGUUGUAAACCUCUUUUAUGCGGGGGCAAAGGGGUCCACGUGUGGCUGUUUGCAGGUACCGCAUGAAUAAGGAUCGGCUAAUUCCGGGCCAGCAGCCGCGGUAAUACGGAGGGUCCGGGCGUUAUCCGGAUUUAUUGGGUUUAAAGGGUGCGAAGGCGGUCUUUCAAGUGUGCGGUAAAAUUUUGGGGCUCAACCCUGGCGUGCCGUUGAAACUGGGGUCCUUGAGUGCGCGAGAGGUAUGCGGAAUGCGUGGUGUAGCGGUGAAAUGCAUAGAUAUCACGCAGAACCCCGAUUGCGAAGGCAGCCUACCGGAGCUCAACUGACGCUGAAGCACGAAAGCGCGGGUAUCGAACAGGAUUAGAUACCCCUGUAGUC